AUUGAACGCUGGCGGCAGGCCUAACACAUGCGAGUCGAACGGUAACAGGAAGCAGCUUGCUGCUUUGCUGACGAGUGGCGGACGGGUGAGUAAUGUCUGGGAAACUGCCUGAUGGAGGGGGAUAACUACUGGAAACGGUAGCUAAUACCGCAUAAUGUCGCAAGACCAAAGAGGGGGACCUUCGGGCCUCUUGCCAUCGGAUGUGCCCAGAUGGGAUUAGCUAGUAGGUGGGGUAAAGGCUCACCUAGGCGACGAUCCCUAGCUGGUCUGAGAGGAUGACCAGCCACACUGGAACUGAGACACGGUCCAGACUCCUACGGGAGGCAGCAGUGGGGAAUAUUGCACAAUGGGCGCAAGCCUGAUGCAGCCAUGCCGCGUGUAUGAAGAAGGCCUUCGGGUUGUAAAGUACUUUCAGCGGGGAGGAAGGGAGUAAAGUUAAUACCUUUGCUCAUUGACGUUACCCGCAGAAGAAGCACCGGCUAACUCCGUG
RNAcentral lists this ribosomal RNA (490 nucleotides) under uncultured bacterium. RNAcentral's name for it is "partial 16S ribosomal RNA". It matches the Rfam family "Bacterial small subunit ribosomal RNA", at positions 30 to 507 of the family's 1533-position model. The record is from RNAcentral.